This 468-nucleotide ribosomal RNA is filed under the name uncultured bacterium. RNAcentral's name for it is "partial 16S ribosomal RNA". It matches the Rfam family "Bacterial small subunit ribosomal RNA", at positions 28 to 507 of the family's 1533-position model. The record is from RNAcentral.
GACGAACGCUGGCGGCGUGCUUAACACAUGCAAGUCGAACGGAAAGGCCCUGCUUUUGUGGGGUGCUCGAGUGGCGAACGGGUGAGUAACACGUGAGUAACCUGCCCUUGACUUUGGGAUAACUUCAGGAAACUGGGGCUAAUACCGGAUAGGGGCUCCUGCUGCAUGGUGGGGGUUGGAAAGUUUCGGCGGUUGGGGAUGGACUCGCGGCUUAUCAGCUUGUGGGUGGGGUAGUGGCUUACCAAGGCUUUGACGGGUAGCCGGCCUGAGAGGGUGACCGGCCCCAUUGGGACUGAGAUACGGCCCAGUCUCCUACGGGGGACAGCAGUGGGGAAUAUUGCACAAUGGGCGGAAGCCUGAUGCAGCAACGCCGCGUGCGGGAUGACGGCCUUCGGGUUGUAAACCGCUUUCGCCUGUGACGAAGCGUGAGUGACGGUAAUGGGUAAAGAAGCACCGGCUAACUACGUG